Molecule: long non-coding RNA, 1178 nt
Organism: Cyprinus carpio (common carp)
Lineage: Eukaryota; Metazoa; Chordata; Actinopteri; Cypriniformes; Cyprinidae
Source: Ensembl
GUUAUGUAAAGUUUUUGUUAUGUUAAGUUUUUCAGUGCCAUUGACUUCCAUUAUUUCUCGGCGUUUUGCUUCAGUUUUCAGUCCAUAAUGGCGGCCGUGCCGUCACGUCAUGGGGGCAACUGUUGCUAUGGUGCGUUCAAUUGAGUUUCGCCUCUUGGCUUCUAUACUCUUUGAUGUUACGAAUAGAGACCCUAUCUGGGACGUUAUAGAGUGCCGAAGUUAUGACGUCACUUUGUAGGCCAAAACGCGGAAGUGAGUUAGCAUUUUAGCACCUCCGGUUCCCUCGCCCUAAAGUCUAUGGGUUUUUUGAAUGGGUUUUUGCUAAAUCGCCUGAAAUAAGGUCUGUGGUUAACAAAGCCUCUAAAUAUUUUCACGUUUUGAUCUAUGACAUAAAACACACCAGUUAUAACCUGCUUGUGAUUUUUUUUAACUUUAUUGUGUCUUAAGAACGGUGGUUGCUAACAAGUUGCUAAAAGGGACUACAUCCUUGGGCGGGGACUUUAGACGUCAUCAUGACAAACAGGAAAUCUCUCACUAACCCGCGUUUCAGCCUCAUUUAGUCUUUUCAAAUUGUAGUUUUUCCAAAUAUUGUUGUACACAGAAUUCUGUGAUAUUAAGGUAACCGAUUAUCAGUUCUUUAUUUCUGUGGAGAGACUGUAGUUCGACAAUGGUGUUUUGUUUUGUCCCGAGAUGCAACCUCAAGUCGUCGAAUGAAAGAUGCUCGUUUUACCGUUUUCCGUCCGGUUACCCAGCGGAGACUCUGGGUUCGUGCUGUAAGCCCAUCUCGAGGUUACUGGAGAUUACAUCAGCUCCAGUUAGAUCCAGCCUCAUAGAAAGACUUCAGACCACCUGUAAAGAGGUGAUGCUGACCCCUGCGAGGACCCCAGAUGACGCCAACUUGAAUCGAUAUGCACAGCUGCCAAAUUUUCCCUAUAUUGUAAUCAUUAUGAUCACACUUGUAAUAAUCGCUUUAAUGAGCUUCUGCCUGAAAUUAAUUCAUGUUAGCUAAUUGUAUGAUUCUUGAACUGUUGAUUAAUGAAAUGAACAUUACUUGGACACAUUCACUUCUGAUUAGCAGAUCACUCUAAAUUGUAAUGUAGAGACAUGCAUUUUCUGUAAAGCUGCUUUGAAACUGUGUAUUGUGAAAUAAAUUUGAAUUGAACUGAACUGAAUAUGCA